UACGUAGGGGGCGAGCGUUAUCCGGAUUCAUUGGGCGUAAAGCGCGCGUAGGCGGCCUGUUAGGUCGGGGGUCAAAUACCGGGGCUCAACCCCGGUCCGCCCCCGAUACCGGCAGGCUUGAGUCUGGUAGGGGAAGGCGGAAUUCCCAGUGUAGCGGUGGAAUGCGCAGAUAUUGGGAAGAACACCGAUGGCGAAGGCAGAUCUCUGGGCCGCAACCGACGCUGAGGCGCGAAAGCUAGGGGAGCGAACAGG
Molecule: ribosomal RNA, 252 nt
Filed under: uncultured Coriobacteriaceae bacterium
Lineage: Bacteria; Bacillati; Actinomycetota; Coriobacteriia; Coriobacteriales; Coriobacteriaceae
Description: partial 16S ribosomal RNA
Rfam family: Bacterial small subunit ribosomal RNA
Source: RNAcentral